AACGAACGCUGGCGGCAUGCCUAACACAUGCAAGUCGAACGAGAUCUUCGGGUCUAGUGGCGCACGGGUGCGUAACGCGUGGGAAUCUGCCCUUUGGUUCGGAAUAACAGUUGGAAACGACUGCUAAUACCGGAUGAUGACGAAAGCCCAAAGAUUUAUCGCCAGAGGAUGAGCCCGCGUAGGAUUAGCUAGUUGGUGUGAUAAAGGCGCACCAAGGCGACGAUCCUUAGCUGGUCUGAGAGGAUGAUCAGCCACACUGGGACUGAGACACGGCCCAGACUCCUACGGGAGGCAGCAGUGGGGAAUAUUGGACAAUGGGCGAAAGCCUGAUCCAGCAAUGCCGCGUGAGUGAUGAAGGCCUUAGGGUUGUAAAGCUCUUUUACCCGGGAUGAUAAUGACAGUACCGGGAGAAUAAGCUCCGGCUAACUCCGUGCCAGCAGCCGCAGUAA
This 449-nucleotide ribosomal RNA is filed under the name uncultured bacterium. RNAcentral describes it as "partial 16S ribosomal RNA". It matches the Rfam family "Bacterial small subunit ribosomal RNA", at positions 29 to 523 of the family's 1533-position model. The record is from RNAcentral.